This 468-nucleotide ribosomal RNA is filed under the name uncultured bacterium. RNAcentral's name for it is "partial 16S ribosomal RNA". It matches the Rfam family "Bacterial small subunit ribosomal RNA", at positions 28 to 507 of the family's 1533-position model. The record is from RNAcentral.
GACGAACGCUGGCGGCGUGCUUAACACAUGCAAGUCGAACGGAAAGGCCCUGCUUUUGUGGGGUGCUCGAGUGGCGAACGGGUGAGUAACACGUGAGUAACCUGCCCUUGACUUUGGGAUAACUUCAGGAAACUGGGGCUAAUACCGGAUAGGAGCUCCUGUUGCAUGGUGGGGGUUGGAAAGUUUCGGCGGUUGGGGAUGGACUCGCGGCUUAUCAGCUUGUUGGUGGGGUAGUGGCUUACCAAGGCUUUGACGGGUAGCCGGCCUGAGAGGGUGACCGGCCACAAUGGGACUGAGAUACGGCCCAGACUCCUACGGGAGGCAGCAGUGGGGAAUAUUGCACAAUGGUCGGAAGCCUGAUGCAGCGACGCCGCGUGCGGGAUGACGGCCUUCGGGUUGUAAACCGCUUUCGCCUGUGACGAAGCGUGAGUGACGGUAAUGAGUAAAGAAGCACCGGCUAACUACGUG